Long non-coding RNA from Oncorhynchus tshawytscha (Chinook salmon), 1194 nucleotides. The record is from Ensembl. Lineage: Eukaryota; Metazoa; Chordata; Actinopteri; Salmoniformes; Salmonidae.
CAUACGCCCCCGCCCCUCUUCUUACCAGAAAGAUGUUUGUUUCUGUCAGCGCGAUGCGUGGAGAAACCCGCUGGCUGCACCGCUUCGGAUUGCGUCUCUCCAGUUAGCCAUGUUUCCGUGAAGCAGAGAACGUUACAGUCUCUGAUGUCCCUCUGGAAUGCUACCCUUGCUCGGAUUUCAUCAACCUUGUUGUCAAGAGACUGGACAUUGGCAAGAAGAAUGCUAGGGAGUGGUGCACGAUGUGCCCGUCUCCGGAGUCUUACCAGAAGACCGCUUCGUUUCCCUCUUUUUCUGAGUCGUUUUUUUUUUUUUUUUGAAAACUCUAUAGAUCUAUCAUGGCUGCAGGGAAGAUGUGUCUGUGUGUGUCUGUCAAAGGGGCAAUGCAAUCAUCUUGUAAAAGUGGGAUGAAAAAUGUGUGGGUGAUUGCUAGUGCUAAUGGCUCGGUUAGCGUGUGAAUCAGAGGGCACAGUAGAGAGAGAGAGAGGAAAGGAAAGACGAUGAGCGUGAUAGAAAGGAGGAGAAAUGGGAAAAUGGAUAGAGAACUGAGGAAAAACACAUUAAGAAGAGAAAGCACAAGAGGUGUGGCGAGUGAGAACAUUAAUUUAAGAGAAAAGGGUGAAAGCGGCACAGUACUAGAAAUGAAUGGGAAUGAGAGAAAAGAGAAAUGAGUAGAUGAGUGUGAUUUAUGCUAAAGCAGCAGCUUGGUGGCUGUGUGUGACUGGAACUCUGUCUGCACUCUGUCAUAUUAGUAGGAGUGUUAAUGAAGUGCAUUAGGCAGCAGUGAUAUAUCUGAAGAGUGGGAUGUGUUUAGUUCCCUCUCUCCCCUCCCCAGAUCUGUCUACCUCCCUUUAUUUAAGGCCUUUAGCUAAACAUGCCGACUCUGACUAUGAUAAACAUGGUCUGUGUAGCAGCCAGCCAAAGCCAGUCUCACUGGGAGCAUCGUCCUCAAGGGCAGUGUUCAACCAUUAACAGAACUUCACAAGACAGUAAAGUAAGAGACCGCACAGAGCGAGGCAAAGAUGCAGCUAAUGCCACCGCUGCUCUAUACAGUCAGACGAUUUAUGUACCAGCACUUUGCAGAGUAACUGCAUAUUAAGCUACUUAUUCAUUUAAGGUGACUCAGGGACUUUACUUUAAAGUUUCCCUGUCUUCACAACUCUGUCUCACCGUAUAGUAUCCUGUCUCUGUCACCCC